RNAcentral lists this ribosomal RNA (225 nucleotides) under Tetrathemis polleni. Its description in RNAcentral is "partial 28S ribosomal RNA". It matches the Rfam family "Eukaryotic large subunit ribosomal RNA", at positions 647 to 834 of the family's 3401-position model. Lineage: Eukaryota; Metazoa; Arthropoda; Insecta; Odonata; Libellulidae. The record is from RNAcentral.
AUCCGUCUUGAAACACGGACCAAGGAGUCUAACAUGCGCGCGAGUCGUUGGGUCGGACACGCUCCGCUAAACCCAUAGGCGCAAUGAAAGUGAAGGUCGCCCUCCGCGGGACCGAGGGAGGACGGAGUCCGAUUGGACUCCCGCACUCCCGGGGCGUCUGAUUCCUCAUCGCGAGGGAAGGCGCACCCAGAGCGCACACGUUGGGACCCGAAAGUGGUGAACUAU